GGGGGUAUAGCCAAGCGGUAAGGCAGCGGGUUUUGAUCCCGCCAUUGCCCUGGUUCGAUCCCAGGUACCCCUG
Molecule: transfer RNA, 73 nt
Filed under: Succinatimonas hippei YIT 12066
Lineage: Bacteria; Pseudomonadati; Pseudomonadota; Gammaproteobacteria; Aeromonadales; Succinivibrionaceae
Rfam family: tRNA
About the family: Transfer RNA (tRNA) molecules are approximately 80 nucleotides in length. Their secondary structure includes four short double-helical elements and three loops (D, anti-codon, and T loops).
Source: Rfam by way of RNAcentral